CCAAAAUCACUGUAUAAAAUUUUAUUCAGCCGAUAAUUAUAGUAAUUAUGUGUUUGAUUCCAAUAAUGUAAUUACAGUGACAUUAGUAAUUCUGUACAGAUACUUGGAAAUUUCAAAAUUACUUCUAUAAAUUUCUACUUUCAUACUUUUACCCUGUAGCUAUGAAAUGGCAACAUAGGGAACAUAUGGGAUAUUGUUAAUAGUUUUUAUAGUGCUGUAUAUUAAACUUUUUUUAGACAUGAUUUGUAUGGUCAAACUUUUCAGAGUUAUUUCUGAGCUUUUAAUACAUUUUUAUGGGACUGUUUACUUUUCUGUUGGGAAUGUUUUGACAGGAACCAGAAGAAAGGUAGCUAUUGAGAAUUUUCAAUACAAGUAUAAUGCUGAAGUGAUGGAAAUCCCAUUUCAAAGACAGUUUUCUUGAAGCUUCCUAAACAAAUUUUGGUCUCCAGAGCCAUGUAAAGAUGCCUGCUUACACUUUGCCUUCUGCCAUAAUUGUAAGUUUCCUGAGGCCUCCGCAGAAGCUGCUAUGAUUUCUUCACAAUCUGCAGAACCGUGGCUGAAUAUUGAUGUCAGAUGCCAAUUCCCCUCAGAGAGAAUAUGAAAAUUACAGAUCAAUGGUCAUGAAAUAAGUUGAAAUAUCAGGGAAGAGUGACAAAACCUGUUGGAGAAUUCAGAGAAAGCAACUGGGCACAGGAAAGGAAGGCAGCAAGAAUCUGGCAGAGAUUAACCCCUAAGAACUUAACAGAUUAAGGAUCCAAGAAGUAAAUAAGAAGUAAACAUCUACAACCAAUAAGGUCUAUCCGAAAUGCAGAAAACUUCAUAUUCCAUAAACAAAUAUUUAUAGUUUUUAUGUCCUUAAUUUACAGAAAGUAUUUAUAUAUUUAGCCACAAAGUACACCUGAAACAAAGCAAAACAGACAGAUGUAACAUAUUCUCUUAUCAUGAUCCAGUGUAAUUUGAAUUAAAUAGCUUUUAGAAAUUAACAAACACUCAUAAAGUCUUCUGGAUCAAAGAAGAAACUGAUCCUCGUGGAAAACAACUAUUACAAAGAAAAUUUAUAGCUUUGAAUAGUUUUAUUUUUUUUAACCCUCAAAAUAAAUGGACUCAGUAUCCACCUCUUUAGAAAUUUGUAAAGCAAAAACAGAAAAAAUAGAAAGAAAGUAGAAACAGGGAUUUAAACAUAAAGUUAAAUUUAAUAUCAGAAGAGAGAAGAGUGAAAAAAAAUAUGUGAAACUGAAAACUAAUUAUUUAAGAUGAGUAAUACAAUAAGUAAAUCUUAAAGGUCUGAUUUUUAAAAAGAAACAAAAAAUAUGAUAUUUGAUAUGGAAAGGAAAUAAAAACCACAACAGUCUAUUAUGAACAUCUCUAUAGUAAUUGAUUUGAAAUUUUAGAAUAAAUUGAUGGCAACAUAAUAAAGCAUAAAUUAUAAAAGCAGAUACAAGAAGAAAUAGAAAACAAAGAGUACCCCAUAAUAUAUCCAUCUAAUGUGUACCUAUAAAAAUUUUUUAAAAAAGAAAACAAACAGAUCAAUACCCCCUAGAAAGGUGAUUAUAAAUACAUCAUUUAGAUUUCUGGUUAAAUGUGGUAAACUAUGCGUACACAUUUAUCUGUGAUAUAUCAUGACAUUCCAUUCACAUGCUUAUUAAGGCAUUUUUAAGCCAUAUAUCAAAUAAUAUUGAGAGAAGAAGACAGAAGAUCAGAAUUGUCAAAUAAUUUUAAGUUCAAAGUUGAUAAAUAAGUGAUAACUUAAUUGUCAGAUACAAAAAAGCUGAAGAUUAAAUGUCCCUGAUGACGGAUGAGAGAAAAAAAAAAUUAACUCAAUCUACAUGGUGUAAUUCCUGAAAGGCUAAUUAAUUAGAGGCAAACUGUAUUUAUACGAAUAUGAAUGGGAAUGGAUCUGAAAACCAAAAAGAUCAUCAAAUUCUAUAAAUGAGAGGGAAAAACUUAAAAAGACAGAUCGAGUAAAAAAUCUGCUGAAGAACGGAGAGAACUCACAACCUCUUUCAAUUCUAGGGUCCUUGAUCAGGGAGAACUCAGAAUUUCUUUCUAUUUUGGUUUCUUAGAUCACUGGAAUUUAGGUUUACAUCUGUAGGCAACAUUGUACAGUUCUUCAUGGUUUCCACUGACCAGCCUAAAAUACACAAAUACAAUGAUAAAUAAGAGCUGCCUAACAAAAUGACUAUUCUGCCAGAAGAAUCUAGAAUAUUAGACUCAACCAUCCCUCAGUGUUCACCUUUUAGUGUCUGAUAUGGUUUGUCUGUGUGCCCACCCAAAUCUCAUCUGGAAUUAUAGAUCCCAUAAUUCCCAAGUGUUGUGGGAGGGACCUGGUGGGAGGUAAUUUAAUCAUUGGGGCAGUUGCUUUUAUGCUGUUCUCAUGUUAGUGAGUGAAAUCUCACGAGAUCUGAUGGUUUUAUAAGGGGUUUUUUCCCGUUUUUCUUGUCACUUCCCGUCCUGCCACCCCGUGAAGAAGGACGUGUUUGCUUCCCCAUCUAACAUGAUUGUAAGUUUCCAGAGCCCCCAGCCAGACAUGCUGAACUGUGAGUCAAUUAAACCUCUUUCUUUAUAAAUUACCCAAUCUUGGGGAUGUCUUUAUUAGCAGCAUAAGAACGGACUAACACAGUGGCUCUCUUAAUUUUGAAUAAAUAACCAAACGUUAUUAGAAUUUUGGAAAUAACCUUUUGUGUAAAAGGAAAAAUGAAACAAAAUAAAAUCAUCGUAAAUACUGAAGGUAAAGAAUUCUAAAAGCUAUGGAGAAAAGGUCGUGGAUAAGGUCAUAAAUAAGGAAACAGUGAAAUCAGACUUCUCAGUAGAAAUCCUGCUAUUAGAAGGUAAUGAAGUAUUGCCUUAAAAUUACUGAGGGAAAAUUAUCUUAAAUCUAUAAUUUUAUUUAUUUAGUAUGUUAUCAGCAUUUAGCAAAUUUAUUGUGGCAAAAACACUAACUUGAGAUCUACCCUUGUAACAAACUUAUUAAAUUAUACAAAUAUUGUCUACUAUAGGUACAAUGUUAUGCAGCAGAUCUCUAGAAUUUAUUCAUGCUUUAUAAUUUAAACUUUAUACCCCUUGAAAAGCAAGUCCCUAUUUCCCCUUUCACCAGCUCUUGGUACUACCAUCCUAUACUCUGUUUCUCUGAGUUUGACUAUUUUAGAUACCUCAUAUAAGUGGAAUUAUGCAGUAUUUUUAAUUAUGUGACUGGAUUGUUACACUUAGCUUAAUGUCCUAAAGAUUUAUUCAUGUGUUCUCAUAUGAAAAGAUUUUCUACUUUUUAAAGACUGAGAGAUAUUCCAUUGUGUAUAUAUACCACAUAUUUGUUAUUCAAUCAUCCUAGGAUAAUUUUUCCUGGAUGACCCAGGAAAAUUAAUUCUCUAAACUUAUUUUUUUCAUUUGUAUUUGGGGACCAACAUUCAUACCUUACUGGGCUACCAUGAGGAUUACAUUAGUUUAUGCAGUAAAGUGCUUGUCUUGAGUGCCGGCUUGAUAAUUAUUUUUUUUCCACUUUACCACCUCAGGAUCCUAGAAAUUUAGAUUUAAUAGUAUCUGAGUUUCUACAAAUUCUGCAAUGAAAUGUUCCCAUGUCAUGUAACAUAGAUAGAAUAAAUAUUGGUUUACUUUAUUAUGCUUUUAUGCUUGACACACUAUUACGUGUUGACACUAUUAUGCUUGACACAUUAUCCCAUCACAACGGAGGUUAUGUAGAAGUAUUAGUCAGGGUCUCUGUCUUCAAGAACUUUGCAAUAGAGUUUGAAAUACAAGAAUAAUGUACAUAAAUCUACUUUGAACAUUCUGUUACCUGUCAUCCCAAUAUCCAUAAUUGAAUGAAAUUAGCCACCAAUGAUAAACUUUAGGUAGAAUUUAUGCCUGCUUUCCUUCUACCUGUAAAAAAUACACGUAAUGUAAAUAUACUAUAGAGUUUGCUAUAAGUAGCUUAUGAAUUUUAGCAGAUAUUAUCUCUCAACAAAUUUUGAGGACAAGAGUAGGAAUAAUUUCACAUGUCUUACUGUUUUUAUUCUUACUAGUUUUAAUAAGAAUCUUUUACAUAUUUGUGAUUCUAAGACACAUAUAUAUGUAUAUCAUGCAUUUUGUAAUCAUUGCUAACAUGUUUUCGUACACUUUUAGAAUUUCAAUACAGGAAUAAAUGUUAGAAAUCUAACAUUCAUUCUUAAAUGGCUGCAGGGAAGUGGGGAAUGGAUAGAGAAUAUAUAUAUUUCCCUAGAUGUCCUGUCCAAAUUAUACAUGGCAUCCUCUGAAAUAGAUUCUGGCAUCAUCCUCCUCCCCACCACCCCCAUGCAUCCUGGUGAGAGUAAUUCAGAGAGUGUGUUGAAGAGAAAACUGAGGCUAAAAAUGUAAAAAUGUAUUACCCAGAGGUCCACACAUACAAUAUGGCAGGGUUAUCAUUCCCAAGUAAGUGCUCUUUCCCAUAGCCUACCUGGCCACUUCCUUUAGUUUUUUUAUCUGUAUUGUAAACAUGGUUCAUGAAGUCUUUAUUUCCUAAUACAAAUAGGUGAUCUUCUGGAAACUUGUAACUCUUCAACGUUAUCUUUUUUCAUUGAUUUACCAUAUUCUACAUUUAUUAAAAUUAUUUAUAAGUUGUAUAGUUUAUUUUAAUGCAGCCUAUUAAUAUUUAAACACUGUCUCCCUUGCCUGCAUUAUAUCUUGAACAUUGUAAUUUAUCAGUACAUAUCCAGCUUAAAUAUAGUCGUAUAAAUAACAUCUCUAGAGUACAAAGUUGUAUUUAUUAAUGUUUUAUAAUUUAAUUGUUAAGGGAGGUAUAUUAGUCAUUGUUCAAUUAGGAAAGAAAACUACUCUAGAUUUUUUAAACAGAGAGGGCUUUGUGCCAGAAAUUGAUUACAAAAUAGUUGAAAUGGAUAGAGGAGGAAAACGAUGUGCUUGAGAAACCAGUAAGAGGAGAUAUUACCUAGAGAUUAAGAAGCAACUACAACCCAUAGGCUCAUACCCAUCAGCCCACAUUGCUGUUGAUCUUCUGGUGGUGCUACAAGUGCCAUUGCUUCUACUGAAACUGCACUAUUGCUGAGAUUGCCCUGCUGCAGAUGCUGCUGAAAUUACCACCAGUACUGCUAGAAACCCAGCGUUCUAAUAUAUAUGCAGUCCUUCAGUCAUUAAUUGCUAAUGCUACCACAAAAUAUUAACAGAAGAACGGGAAAAUUAUGAAACUGUUUUUCUCUAGCCUUCAAAUUCACUGCCAGUGCUACCCAUUUAUGGACUCUAACUGAAAAACGGCUUUCAAGCGUGUAUAGGAUUUCGUUUUCUGGUUUCUAGACUCCUGUGACUCAAGGAAGAAUAAAGACUGAGAAUGGAGUUGAAAGUCAACAGGUGAAUGGGGUUAUUCAUACUGUCUCAGAUACUACUGCCAAACAAGCUCCUUUUGUCUUAAAGUAACCAAGUACACUUGUGGAUAUAAAACUUCAGAGAGCAACUAGUAGAGGUAAUUUGGAGAAAGAGCCAGAUUUAUAUGGAAUGUGGUUACUCACAUGAAAUAUGAUUUAAUCAACAAUCAGCCAAACAGUGCUAUAAACUUCUUCAUUACUUGGCCUGUUUAAGGCACAGUUAGGAUAUUUAAAGCAUAAUUUAUACUCAAAGGA
This 5597-nucleotide long non-coding RNA is filed under the name Homo sapiens (human). RNAcentral describes it as "HSALNT0283976". Lineage: Eukaryota; Metazoa; Chordata; Mammalia; Primates; Hominidae. The record is from RNAcentral.